UACACUCCUACGGGAGGCAGCAGUGGGGAAUAUUGGACAAUGGGCGCAAGCCUGAUCCAGCCAUGCCGCGUGAGUGAUGAAGGCCCUAGGGUUGUAAAGCUCUUUCACCGGUGAAGAUAAUGACGGUAACCGGAGAAGAAGCCCCGGCUAACUUCGUGCCAGCAGCCGCGGUAAUACGAAGGGGGCUAGCGUUGUUCGGAUUUACUGGGCGUAAAGCGCACGUAGGCGGACUAUUAAGUCAGGGGUGAAAUCCCGGGGCUCAACCCCGGAACUGCCUUUGAUACUGGUAGUCUUGAGUUCGAGAGAGGUGAGUGGAAUUCCGAGUGUAGAGGUGAAAUUCGUAGAUAUUCGGAGGAACACCAGUGGCGAAGGCGGCUCACUGGCUCGAUACUGACGCUGAGGUGCGAAAGCGUGGGGAGCAAACAGGAUUAGAUACCCGUGUAGUCCC
Molecule: ribosomal RNA, 448 nt
Filed under: uncultured organism
Description: partial 16S ribosomal RNA
Rfam family: Bacterial small subunit ribosomal RNA
Source: RNAcentral